This 459-nucleotide ribosomal RNA is filed under the name uncultured bacterium. RNAcentral describes it as "bacterial SSU rRNA". It matches the Rfam family "Archaeal small subunit ribosomal RNA", at positions 724 to 1174 of the family's 1478-position model. The record is from RNAcentral.
AGUGAAUAGAUACCCCGGUAGUCCCAGCCGUAAACGAUGCUCGCUAGGUGUCAGGCAUGGCGCGACCGUGUCUGGUGCCGCAGGGAAGCCGUGAAGCGAGCCACCUGGGAAGUACGGCCGCAAGGCUGAAACUUAAAGGAAUUGGCGGGGAGCACAACAACGGGUGGAGCCUGCGGUUUAAUUGGACUCAACGCCGGACAACUCACCGGGGGCGGACAGCAAUAUGUAGGCCAACGCUGAAGAACUUUGUCCUGAAUCGCUGAGAGGAGGUGCAUGGCCGUCGCCAGUUCGUACUGUGAAGCAUCCUGUUAAGUCAGGCAACGAGCGAGACCCGUGCCCACUGUUACCAGCAUGUCCUCCGGGUACGAUGGGUACUCUGUGGGGACCGCCGAUGUUAAAUCGGAGGAAGGUUGCGGGCCGACGGUAGGUCAGUAUGCCCCGGAAUCUCCCGGGGCUACA